Long non-coding RNA from Papilio machaon (common yellow swallowtail), 430 nucleotides. RefSeq lists it as uncharacterized. The record is from RefSeq and is a predicted model, not a curated record. Lineage: Eukaryota; Metazoa; Arthropoda; Insecta; Lepidoptera; Papilionidae. The transcript is spliced from 3 exons.
CUAGAGUUUCGUGGCAUUUUAGAACCUAGAGACAUUGAAGGUUUCCUCGGCUGGACUAAAUCAGAGAUAGCAGCAGCGUUGUUGGCAGCGAAGCGACCUGAUGAGUCUGAUGACGAUGGUUUCUUUGAGCAGAGCUGGUUCGCUGAGUCACCCACUGAUGACACACCAUCUCAUAUUACACAACGUCAGAACUCAAGUGAAUCAGGCACAGAUCAGACGGACUGGCAGUCAUGGCGUGCUGAGGUGGUGCGCCGCGCUGCACUGAGUGAGGGCAAAGUCGUCGAUAUACAGGCCUCCGCUGCACUACUGCUCAAACAUGUGCAACAGACACAGCACAACCAGAGCCAAGACCUCGUGCACUGUGACAGACUCCUCAGCAUCGCUAAAGAACAAACUGAUGUCUCAAAGUUGUUCUUCGCAACACUUUUCC